This 481-nucleotide ribosomal RNA is filed under the name uncultured bacterium. RNAcentral describes it as "partial 16S ribosomal RNA". It matches the Rfam family "Bacterial small subunit ribosomal RNA", at positions 28 to 507 of the family's 1533-position model. The record is from RNAcentral.
GAUGAACGCUGGCGGCGUGCUUAACACAUGCAAGUCGAACGAAGCACUUUAUUUGAUUUCCUUCGGGACUGAUUAUUUUGUGACUGAGUGGCGGACGGGUGAGUAACUCGUGGGUAACCUGCCUUGUACAGGGGGAUAACAGUUGGAAACGGCUGCUAAUACCGCAUAAGCGCACAGCAUCGCAUGAUGCAGUGUGAAAAAGUCCGGUGGUAUAAGAUGGACCUGCGUUGGUUUAGCUAGUUGGUGGGGUAACGGCCAACCAAGGCGGCGAUCCAUAGCCGACAUGGGAGGGUGACCGGUCGCAUUGGGACUGAGGCCCGGCCCAAACUCCGACGGAAGGCAGGAGUGGGGAAUAUUGCACAAUGGGCGAAAGCCUGAUGCAGCGACGCCGCGUGAGAGAAGAAGUAUUUCGGUAUGUAAAGCUCUAUCAGCAGGGAAGAUAAUGACGGUACCUGACAAAGAAGCACCGGCUAAAUACGUG